GAUGAACGCUGGCGGCGUGCCUAAUACAUGCAAGUCGAGCGAACGGACGAGAAGCUUGCUUCUCUGAUGUUAGCGGCGGACGGGUGAGUAACACGUGGAUAGCCUACCUAUAAGACUGGGAUAACUUCGGGAAACCGGAGCUAAUACCGGAUAAUAUUUUGAACCGCAUGGUUCAAAAGUGAAAGACGGUCUUGCUGUCACUUAUAGAUGGAUCCGCGCUGCAUUAGCUAGUUGGUAAGGUAACGGCUUACCAAGGCAACGAUGCAUAGCCGACCUGAGAGGGUGAUCGGCCACACUGGAACUGAGACACGGUCCAGACUCCUACGGGAGGCAGCAGUAGGGAAUCUUCCGCAAUGGGCGAAAGCCUGACGGAGCAACGCCGCGUGAGUGGUGAAGGUCUUCGGAUCGUAAAACUCUGUUAUUAGGGAAGAACAUAUGUGUAAGUAACUGUGCACAUCUUGACGGUACCUAAUCAGAAAGCCACGGCUAACUACGUG
This 497-nucleotide ribosomal RNA is filed under the name uncultured bacterium. RNAcentral describes it as "partial 16S ribosomal RNA". It matches the Rfam family "Bacterial small subunit ribosomal RNA", at positions 28 to 507 of the family's 1533-position model. The record is from RNAcentral.